Molecule: ribosomal RNA, 253 nt
Filed under: uncultured bacterium
Lineage: Bacteria
Description: partial 16S ribosomal RNA
Rfam family: Bacterial small subunit ribosomal RNA
Source: RNAcentral
UACGUAGGUGGCAAGCGUUGUCCGGAAUUACUGGGCGUAAAGAGCGCGCAGGCGGUCGUUCAAGUCGCGUGUGAAAGCCCCCGGCUCAACUGGGGAGGGUCACGCGAUACUGAUCGACUCGAAGGCAGGAGAGGGUAGUGGAAUUCCCGGUGUAGUGGUGAAAUGCGUAGAUAUCGGGAGGAACACCAGUGGCGAAGGCGACUACCUGGCCUGUUCUUGACGCUGAGGCGCGAAAGCUAGGGGAGCAAACGGG